GCCUGGCUGGCUCAGUUGGUAGGGCAUGUGACUCUUGAUCUUGGGGUUGUGAGUUCAAGCCCCAUGUUGGGCU
Molecule: transfer RNA, 73 nt
Filed under: Canis lupus familiaris (dog)
Lineage: Eukaryota; Metazoa; Chordata; Mammalia; Carnivora; Canidae
Also listed under: 1 other name
Rfam family: tRNA
About the family: Transfer RNA (tRNA) molecules are approximately 80 nucleotides in length. Their secondary structure includes four short double-helical elements and three loops (D, anti-codon, and T loops).
Source: Rfam by way of RNAcentral